GAACAAUCACCCAGUAUCUCUCAGCCAAAUUCUCCCCAACUCUUCUGUUUCUUCAAAAGCUGUAUUUUUAUCAUGUCCAAUGCUCGUGCUCACCUUACAAGUCAAGUCACAGUACAUUGGCCCCUCUGCUCACCUGUGCCUGCCUUCCUCUCCUACAUCUCCAUGCCACCUGCAUCUCCUGACUCCCUGCCUCACCACUUCCCUGUCUCUUCCUCUGAAAACAAUCUUUCUCUUAUUUCCAUCUUCCCUCCACCUCUGUUGCUCAACUCCAGAGCCAUAGUCAACCUCAUACCCCCUGCUGCAGCCUUCUUUGACACAGACAGUUUGACUCCUCAGCUUGGCGGAGCUUUGCUUGAAGCACAGAGGAGAAAGCCUGGAGGUUGACAGGGCGAACAUUCUCAGGGGCAGGGAGUGAGGUGAUGUCUCACAGGUAUCCAGGGUUGCCAUAGGUGUCCACUU
Molecule: long non-coding RNA, 459 nt
Organism: Pezoporus flaviventris
Lineage: Eukaryota; Metazoa; Chordata; Aves; Psittaciformes; Psittacidae
Exons: 3
Source: RefSeq, a predicted model, not a curated record